ACCUACGGGGGGCAGCAGUGGGGAAUAUUGCACAGUGGGGGAAACCCUGAUGCAGCGACGCCGCGUGGGCGAAGAAGUAUUUCGGUAUGUAAAGCCCUAUCAGCAGGGAAGAAGAAAUGACGGUACCUGAGUAAGAAGCACCGGCUAAAUACGUGCCAGCAGCCGCGGUAAUACGUAUGGUGCAAGCGUUAUCCGGAUUUACUGGGUUUAAAGGGUGCGCAGGCGGCACGGCAAGCCGGCGGUCAAAUCGCGGGGCUCAACCCCGCCCAGCCGUCGGAACUGCCGGGCUAGAGUGGGCGAGAAGU
Molecule: ribosomal RNA, 305 nt
Filed under: uncultured bacterium
Lineage: Bacteria
Description: bacterial SSU rRNA
Rfam family: Bacterial small subunit ribosomal RNA
Source: RNAcentral